This is a long non-coding RNA of Mytilus californianus (California mussel), 2288 nucleotides long. RefSeq lists it as uncharacterized. NCBI's taxonomy places the organism in Eukaryota, Metazoa, Mollusca, Bivalvia, Mytilida, Mytilidae. The record is from RefSeq and is a predicted model, not a curated record. The transcript has 5 exons.
CAACUGACCUAUUAUAAAUCAAUAUACACAAGGCGUAGAAUUACAAUCAAUACACACUGGAAUAUUUACUACCUUGAGUGAUAAUUAGUUUCGAUUUAGAUUUAAUAUAACUGGAUAUCAACUUUAUUAUUAACGUUGACGGUGACGCUAUUAGAAGAAACUAUGGCAGCAGGGAGAGUUGUUGUGGUUGCAGUAGACGGAAGCGUCCAUUCGGAUAAUGCACUUAAAUAUUACAUUGAUCGCGUGCAGAUACCUGGUGAUAAACUUCUGCUGGUGAAUGUUCCAGAGGAAUAUAACUUUACUGAUGCCAGUCCAGGCGUUAUACACGAAUUAUUAGAAAAAAUGAAAGAAAAGGCAAGUGAAGUAGAGAAGACAUAUACAGACAGACUCAAAGAUAUCAGUGUUGAUUUCAAGUUUAGAAUAGUACACGGACACCCAGGUGAACAAAUAGUUAAAGUAGCCGAAGAAGAAAAGGCGUCGUUAGUUAUGGUAGGAAGCAGGGGUCACGGCUGGUUACGACGAACAAUACUUGGUAGCGUUAGUAAUUAUGUGAUUCAUCAUACCUCUAUUCCUGUGCUUCUCUGUAAAAAUAUGGAACCAUUAGAACUAGAAAAUCAACAAAAUUGAGGUUUAAAAUGAUGUAUAUUGGUAGAGUCGAAACGUAUAAAUGUGUAGACCAGAAACGUAUAAAUGUAUGUAGGUUGGUUAGUGGUAUGAGGCAUAGGCGUUUCACCGAUACGUUGGAUUAUACGGCGUUGGAAGCAUAUAAAAAGGCAGAGAUCAUGUUUGAUCAUAAGUAGCGGGACGUCUGAUUUUUUUUAUAGAUUAAAGGGAAAUUUGAUAAACGUCAAUGAGACAUCAACUAACUACAAAAAAUAACCAAAAGACAUCAGGAACUCGACAUACAAUCUUCAACAAUCAACCAACUGCAAAUAACCAAAAUGACAUCCAGAGGUCGACAUACAAUCUUCAACAAUCAGCCAACUACAAAAAUAAUCAAAAUGACAUCCAGAGGUCGACAUACAAUCUUCAACAAUCAACCAACUACAAAAAUAACAAAAUGACAUCCAGAGGACGACAUACAAUCUUCAACAAUCAACCAACUACAAAAAUAACAAAAUGACAUCCAGAGGUCGACAUACAAUCUUCAACAAUCAACCAACUACAAAAUAACAAAAAGACAUCCAGAGGUCGACAUACAAUCUUCAACAAUGAACCAACUAUAAAAAAGCCAAAAGACAACAAGAGGUCGACAUACAAUCUUCAACAAUCGACCAACUACAAAAUAACAAAAAGACAUCCAGAGGUCGACAUACAAUCUUUAACAAUCAACCAACUACAAAAUAACCAAAAGACAUCCAGAGGUCGACGUACAAUCUUCAACAAUCAACCAACUACAAAAAUGACCAAAAGACACCCAGUGGCGACAUACAAUAUUCAACAAUCAACCAACUACAAAAUAACAAAAAGACAUCCAGAGGUCGACAUACAAUCUUUAACAAUCAACCAACUACAAAAUAACCAAAAGACAUUCAGAGGUCGACAUACAAUCUUCAACAAUCAACCAACUACAAAAAUAACAAAAAGACAUCCAGAGGUCGAUAUACAAUCUUCAACAAUCAACCAACUACAAAAAUAACAAAAAGACAUCCAGAGGUUGACAUACAAUCUUCAACAAUCAACCAACUACAAAAUAACCAAAAGACAUACAGAGGUCGACAUACAAUCUUCAACUAUCAACCAACUACAAAAAUAACAAAAGACAUCCAGAGGGCGACAUACAAUCUUCAACAAUCAAGCUAAAAAUCGUCCAAGGGUAUAUAUUAUAAGUUUUGAUAAAAGCGUAUUAUGGCACUCAUACCACAUCUUCUUAUUUGUAAUAAAAAUAACACUUAUAAUAAAUUGGUGCGUCUAAAGCGCUUUCCAGAAUUAACUUCUAUCAGGAACGUUCAAAACGAUAGAUUUUAAAGCAAAGGAUGCAUUAAUAUUUAAGGAGUUAUUUGACAAAAAAAAAAAAAGACCAGAAAAGAUAAAACAAAACCUUCAAGGUGAACUUUGCUUCUCAAUAAUUUAUAUAAACACAGAAAAAGGGGCGAAACACAUUCCUAUUUACUUGUUAUAAAAAAAAAUCUGUCACGAUUUGACAGAUUUGCUAAAAAAAAAAGCAAACGACUAGAAUUACGUCAACAAAGAAAAAUGUAAUUGCUAUUCUAAAACAUAAAAUAUAUUAUCAAUGUGAAAUGUUUCAGAUAGUGUUUUCUUUUGAAAAUAAAUUAUUUAUAUUUGUC